UUGAUUGGCCUUGAUUUUGGUCACCUGAGGGAUCCAAGAUGGCGGACAGAAGCAAGAUGGUGUCUGGAUAGACAGCAUGGUGCCCAGACUUGGUUACACUCAGAAACCACAAGACUUUGUAAAACCUAAUCGCCCUCAUACAAGGACAGUACCAGGAUUAAGGAUUCCUACUGGGAACGCGACCACUCCUUUGUCGUGUAUGUCUGUCAAGUGUUCGUCUGUUAUAUAUAUAAACAAUGACCGAACGGGACAGGCUAUCGUUUACCCCAACGCUUGGGCUAUCCCUCAACAAGAGAGAAGGACCAGAGCUCGCCAGGAACCCAGACUGGUGCUCCUGUUCAAGUCCUGCCUCCUAUGCAGAUGAUCCAUAGAAGGUAGAGCAACACCCUAAAGCCCUCCAUCAUUUCUGCUGUCUACUGGUCCACUAUUGGAGUGUGAAAAGAAGAUACACGAGGAAAUGGAAGUAUGUCAUGAAGAAGAACCAAAGUUCCUUGUGAAGACCAGGUGCAGAGACGGGAGAGGGGAAAGAAGGCCUUUGAAAGCCGCUCCAUUGUGUCCUCGUGAACUCCGGAAGCAUCUCUACAGCGAGGCAGAGUUGUCAUCCCCCUCCUCAACUUGUAAAUGGCUGUGGACGUUGUUGUAUUGCUAUCAUGGGAUUGGUAGUAAAAAAGAGGAAUAAGCUUGGCCAUCUUCCAGUUUGGAGCGGCCCAUGCAGCUCCAGACAGGUGGCUGUGGUUUACUUGAGCUGUUAUAGAUUUGUACUUUAUUUAAUAAAUAAUGAUUGCCAGCCAAUUCAAUACACACGCAUACAUAUAGCACUGAUUGAGUUGUACAGAGUGGAGUGGUUCAUUUUCCUGACGACGUAGG
This is a long non-coding RNA of Gadus chalcogrammus (walleye pollock), 867 nucleotides long. RefSeq lists it as uncharacterized. The record is from RefSeq and is a predicted model, not a curated record. NCBI's taxonomy places the organism in Eukaryota, Metazoa, Chordata, Actinopteri, Gadiformes, Gadidae. The transcript has 4 exons.